RNAcentral lists this small RNA (28 nucleotides) under Bombyx mori (domestic silkworm). RNAcentral's name for it is "ovarian small RNA-8900". The record is from RNAcentral. Lineage: Eukaryota; Metazoa; Arthropoda; Insecta; Lepidoptera; Bombycidae.
UGUAAUUUAUGUUGGUUCGUAGGUUGGU